AACUUGCCUUGGGUCYGGGAUAACCCCUGGGAAACUGGGGCUAAUACCGGAUAGAGCAUCGAUUGCUGGAAUGCCUGAUGYUCGAAAGCURMGGYGCCCAAGGAUAGGUCUGCGGCCGAUUAGGUUGUUGUUGAUGUAAUGGAYCAACAAGCCUACGAUCGGUACGGGUUGUGAGAGCAAUAGCCCGGAGAUGGGUUCUGAGAAAAGAACCCAGGUCCUACGGGACGCAUCAGGCGCGAAAACUUUACAMUGUGCGAAAGCACGAUAAGGGAACUCUGAGUGCCUCCUAAGGAGGCUGUUCUAGUGUCUAAAAAGCAUUUGAAGUAAGGGCUGGGYAAGACCGGUGCCAGCCGCCGCGGUAACACCGGCAGCCCAAGUGGUAGCCACGUUUAUUGGGUCUAAAGCGUCCGUAGCCGGCUKGGUAAGUUCCUUGGUAAAUUUAACCGCUYAACGGUUAAGCUUUCAGGGAAUACUGCUUGGCUUGGGACCGGGAGAGGUCAGAGGUACUCCAAGGGUAGGGGUGAAAUCCAUUAAUCCUUGGGGGACCACCGGUAGCGAAGGCGUCUGACCAGACCRGSUCCGACGGUGAGGGACGAAGGCUAGGGUCGCGAACCGGAUUAGAUACCCGGGUAGUCCUAGCUGUAAACGAUGCGGGCCAGGUGUUGGCAUUACUGCGAGUGAUGCCAGUGCCGAAGGGAAGCCGUUAAGCCCGCCAUCUGGGGAGUACGGUCGCAAGGCUWAACUUAA
This 747-nucleotide ribosomal RNA is filed under the name uncultured methane-oxidizing archaeon. RNAcentral describes it as "bacterial SSU rRNA". It matches the Rfam family "Archaeal small subunit ribosomal RNA", at positions 106 to 859 of the family's 1478-position model. The record is from RNAcentral.